CCUUAGGAGAGAACAUAGGGUUAGGACACCUGUAAGCCUGCUUUCAAGAUGGCCCAGCAAACUGGUCAGUUACAAACUUUGCUAGUCAAGACAACUCAUCUUUGGAGCUAUUUACAGCUUUUAACAAUUGGGUAAAGUAUGUUCGUGUGAACAAAAUUUGGAGCAUAUUUGUUUUUUCUACCCAAUUUCUCCAGAAUUUGACAACUAUUCGCUAACGCUGCUCAUUCCUGGGAACCAACCAGUGAUCUCUGACUGCUGCUCAGAAGAAACAAGAGGGCUAGAUAUCACCUUCUGUCAGAAAUCAAGAGUUAUGAAUGACCCUCGACAUACCAAUGCUUUCUGACUGAGCUCCCCUGUACCCUGAACACAAGAGACCCUAAUAGAUAGGCAGGAAUGUCAUCACCCCUCUUCAGCCUGAAGAUGUUAUAGAAGACGGAUCUUCAUCCCUCUGCAACCCUAAGGAUUAAGGCUUCUCUUAUAAAAGGGAUGGGGAAAAUGUCA
Molecule: long non-coding RNA, 501 nt
Organism: Pan troglodytes (chimpanzee)
Lineage: Eukaryota; Metazoa; Chordata; Mammalia; Primates; Hominidae
Exons: 4
Source: RefSeq, a predicted model, not a curated record